UAGUACCUGUAUGGUGCUAUGUUCUCUUUCCAACCUCCUGCCCCCCCCAACCAAGCCAGUCCCGGUGGACCCCGCCCUCACCAUGAGCCAGAAAGUAAAUUGAAUUAAACAUCUCUGGAGAGACCUGAAAAUGGCCGUCCACCAAUGGUCCCCAUCCAACCUGGCAGAGCUCGAGAGGAUCUGUAGAGAAGAAAGGCAGAGACUCCCCAGAUCCAGGUGUGCAAAGCUUGUCGCCUCGUACCCAAGAAGACUCGAGGCUUUACUCGCUGCCAAAGCUGGUGAUCUUCUUGCGGGGCAGGAAGGCAUUAGUGAUCUGGUUCAUCACCACCAGGGCAGGGAAGAGGGGCAGCAGGAGGAAGGCCCACCAGGCCACCCCUUUCACUGUGG
Molecule: long non-coding RNA, 387 nt
Organism: Xiphias gladius (swordfish)
Lineage: Eukaryota; Metazoa; Chordata; Actinopteri; Istiophoriformes; Xiphiidae
Exons: 3
Source: RefSeq, a predicted model, not a curated record